Molecule: ribosomal RNA, 482 nt
Filed under: Hippocampus breviceps (short-head seahorse)
Lineage: Eukaryota; Metazoa; Chordata; Actinopteri; Syngnathiformes; Syngnathidae
Description: partial 16S ribosomal RNA
Rfam family: Bacterial large subunit ribosomal RNA
Source: RNAcentral
GUUUAACGGCCGCGGUAUUUUGACCGUGCAAAGGUAGCGCAAUCACUUGUCUUUUAAAUAAAGACCCGUAUGAAUGGCAUAACGAGGGCUAAACUGUCUCCUUACCCAGGUUAAUGAAAUUGAUCUUUCCGUGCAGAAGCGGGAAUAAACCCAUAAGACGAGAAGACCCUGUGGAGCUUUAGAUGAAUAAAUGAACUUAUUAAAUAAAUAACCCCAAAAAGGCAACAAACAUAUAACCUCAUUUUAAUAUCUUUAGUUGGGGCGACCGCGGAGUAAAACAAAACCUCCGUGAGGACUGAGGUAAAAACCUUAUACCUGAGAAAGUCAUUUCUAAGUACCAAAAUAUUUGACCCAAAGAUCCGGCAAUAGCCGAUCAACGAACCUAGUUACCCCAGGGAUAACAGCGCAAUCCCUUUUGAGAGUCCCUAUCGACAAGGGGGUUUACGACCUCGAUGUUGGAUCAGGACAUCCUAAUGGUGCAG